GCUGCGGUAGCCUAGUGGUUAAGGCAGCGGACUCGGAUUUCGUUGGAUCGUGGUUUCGUGCCUUGAUGCCACUUAAGACCCGCCGUGUAGCC
Non-coding RNA from Nephila pilipes (giant wood spider), 92 nucleotides. The record is from the annotation of a GenBank genome assembly. NCBI's taxonomy places the organism in Eukaryota, Metazoa, Arthropoda, Arachnida, Araneae, Nephilidae.